Molecule: ribosomal RNA, 478 nt
Filed under: Busseola quadrata
Lineage: Eukaryota; Metazoa; Arthropoda; Insecta; Lepidoptera; Noctuidae
Description: partial 16S large subunit ribosomal RNA
Source: RNAcentral
UGUCUUUUUGAAGUUAAUUUAAAGUCUAAUCUGCCCACUGAUUUAAUAUUAAAGGGCUGCAGUAUUUUGACUGUACAAAGGUAGCAUAAUCAUUAGUCAUUUAAUUGAUGACUUGUAUGAAAGAUUGGAUGAAGUAUAAUCUGUCUCUUAAUUAAUAAGUAGAAUUUAAUUUUUUGAUUAAAAAGUUAAAAUAGUUUAAAAAGACGAGAAGACCCUAUAGAGUUUUAUAAAUAAAGUUAAUUAAUAUUAUUUAUAAAAAUUAAAUUAAAAUUUUUUUAUUUAUUAUAUUGGGGUGAUAGAAAAAUAUAUUUAACUUUUUUUUUAUUUAAAACAUUUAUAAGUGAUUAAAUGAUCCAAUAUUAUUGAUUAUAAGAAAAAAUUACCUUAGGGAUAACAGCGUAAUUUUUUUUUUUAGUUCGUAUAAGAAAGAGAGUUUGCGACCUCGAUGUUGGAUUAAGAUAAAAUUUAAAUGUAGAAG